AAACUGUGAUGUGGGCAUUUUCUCAAUAAAUCUGUGAAUCUUUUCCAAGUUUCGUAUAAACUCUCUUGAUCAUGGUGAACAAAAGUCAUUAUCUCAUUGCGCAGUUU
Molecule: small nucleolar RNA, 107 nt
Filed under: Jatropha curcas
Lineage: Eukaryota; Viridiplantae; Streptophyta; Magnoliopsida; Malpighiales; Euphorbiaceae
Description: Plant small nucleolar RNA R71
Rfam family: Plant small nucleolar RNA R71
About the family: R71 is a member of the C/D box family of snoRNAs containing the C (UGAUGA) and D (CUGA) box motifs. Multiple nearly identical copies of this snoRNA have been identified in Arabidopsis, and it is thought to function as a 2'-O-ribose methylation guide for 18S ribosomal RNA.
Source: Rfam by way of RNAcentral